AAGUCGUAACAAGGUUUCCGUAGGUGAACCUGCGGAAGGAUCAUUAGUGAAUGGGAACAGAUAGUCCCGCGACACUUUUAACACUGUGCACUUUGCGGGAAUAUUUGCGAUUCCUGCGGUUAUGAACACGAGUGUUGUAUGUACGAAAGAACAAAGAAAACUUUCAACAACGGAUCUCUUGGCUCUC
RNAcentral lists this unclassified non-coding RNA (187 nucleotides) under Phylloporus sp. Its description in RNAcentral is "partial contains small subunit ribosomal RNA, internal transcribed spacer 1, and 5.8S ribosomal RNA". The stretch from base 1 to 46 matches the Rfam family "Eukaryotic small subunit ribosomal RNA", at positions 1786 to 1831 of the family's 1831-position model. The record is from RNAcentral. Lineage: Eukaryota; Fungi; Basidiomycota; Agaricomycetes; Boletales; Boletaceae.